RNAcentral lists this ribosomal RNA (425 nucleotides) under uncultured bacterium. Its description in RNAcentral is "bacterial SSU rRNA". It matches the Rfam family "Bacterial small subunit ribosomal RNA", at positions 354 to 796 of the family's 1533-position model. The record is from RNAcentral.
GUGGGGAAUCUUAGACAAUGGGCGCAAGCCUGAUCUAGCGAUGCCGCGUGAGUGACGAAGGCCUUAGGGUCGUAAAGCUCUUUCGCCAGGGAUGAUAAUGACAGUACCUGGUAAAGAAGUCCCGGCUAACUCCGUGCCAGCAGCCGCGGUAAUACGGAGGGGACUAGCGUUGUUCGGAAUUACUGGGCGUAAAGCGUACGUAGGCGGAUUAGUUAGUCAGAGGUGAAAUCCCAGGGCUCAACCCUGGAACUGCCUUUGAUACUGCUAGUCUUGAGUUCGAGAGAGGUGAGUGGAAUUCCGAGUGUAGAGGUGAAAUUCGUAGAUAUUCGGAGGAACACCAGUGGCGAAGGCGGCUCACUGGCUCGAUACUGACGCUGAGGUACGAAAGUGUGGGGAGCAAACAGGAUUAGAAACCCCUGUAGUCC